RNAcentral lists this ribosomal RNA (396 nucleotides) under uncultured bacterium. RNAcentral's name for it is "partial 16S ribosomal RNA". It matches the Rfam family "Bacterial small subunit ribosomal RNA", at positions 523 to 918 of the family's 1533-position model. The record is from RNAcentral.
AUACGUAGGUGACAAGCGUUAUCCGGAUUUACUGGGUGUAAAGGGCGUGUAGGCGGUUUGGCAAGUCAGAAGUGAAAUUCCCGGGCUUAACUUGGGCGCUGCUUCUGAAACUGCAGGACUUGAGUGCUGGAGGGGAUAGCGGAAUUCCUAGUGGAGCGGUAAAAUGCGCAGAUAUUAGGAAGAACACCGGUGGCGAAGGCGGCUAUCUGGACAGUAACUUACGCUGAGGCGCGAAAGCGUGGGGAGCAAACAGGAUUAGAUACCCUGGUAGUCCACGCUGUAAACGAUGAUUACUAGAUGUUGGGGACUAUGAGUCUUCGGUGUCGCAGCUAACGCAAUAAGUAAUCCACCUGGGGAGUACGUUCGCAAGAAUGAAACUCAAAUGAAUUGACGGGG